This is a non-coding RNA of Caenorhabditis brenneri, 87 nucleotides long. The record is from Rfam. NCBI's taxonomy places the organism in Eukaryota, Metazoa, Nematoda, Chromadorea, Rhabditida, Rhabditidae.
GCCCUGGUGGCCGAGCGGUCUAAGGCGUGAGACCUUGGGUCGUCUCAUUGGUUCAAUCCAGCGCGGGUUCGAAUACCGCCCAGGGCA